AGGACGAACGCUGGCGGCGUGCCUAACACAUGCAAGUCGAACGGGGGUAGCAAUACCCCAGUGGCGAACGGGUGCGUAACACGUGAAGAACUUGUCCAUCGGCGGGGGAUAGCCGGCCCAACGGCCGGGUAAUACCGCGUACGCCGUCUGAAGCGCAUGCUUCGGCCGGGAAAGCAGCAAUGCACCGAUGGAGAGCUUCGCGGCCCAUCAGCUAGUUGGCGGGGUAAUGGCCCACCAAGGCGACGACGGGUAGCUGGUCUGAGAGGAUGAUCAGCCACACUGGGAUUGAGAACGGCCCAGACUCCUACGGGGGCAGCAGUGAGGAAUUUUCGUCAAUGGGGGAAACCCUGAACGAGCAACGCCGCGUGCAGGAAGACACUUUUCGGAGCGUAAACUGCUUUUCUCGGGGACGAGUAAGGACGGUACCCGAGGAAUCACGCCCGGCUAACUACGUGCCAGCAGCCGC
This 466-nucleotide ribosomal RNA is filed under the name uncultured bacterium. RNAcentral's name for it is "SSU rRNA". It matches the Rfam family "Bacterial small subunit ribosomal RNA", at positions 26 to 518 of the family's 1533-position model. The record is from RNAcentral.